CUGAACCAACCAAGUAGCGUGAACGAUGACUGGCCUAUGGGUUGUAAACUUCUUUUAUAAAGGAAUAAAGUCGGGUAUGCAUACCCGUUUGCAUGUACUUUAUGAAUAACGAUCGGCUAACUCCGUGCCAGCAGCCGCGGUAAUCCGGAGGAUCCGAGCGUUAUCCGGAUCUAUUGGGUUUAAAGGGAGCGUAGAUGGAUGUCUAAAUCACUUGUGAAAGUUUGCGG
RNAcentral lists this ribosomal RNA (227 nucleotides) under uncultured bacterium. RNAcentral describes it as "partial 16S ribosomal RNA". It matches the Rfam family "Bacterial small subunit ribosomal RNA", at positions 383 to 607 of the family's 1533-position model. The record is from RNAcentral.